Long non-coding RNA from Pantherophis guttatus, 803 nucleotides. RefSeq lists it as uncharacterized. The record is from RefSeq and is a predicted model, not a curated record. NCBI's taxonomy places the organism in Eukaryota, Metazoa, Chordata, Lepidosauria, Squamata, Colubridae.
UUCUGUGCAGUAUGACAUUAAACAGUUCAUCAGGCUGAGGACAGAACCUUGGUGUAUUUUUAUGUCAGCAAUUUCUAAGAGGUUUAUCAUCUGGGCAUUGCAAGAAAAUGAUGGAUAUCAAACGAAUGAUCAACAAUUUCCACUGGUUCUACUGGCAAUUCCAACUGAUUACAAUGACACAUAUGAUGGAUUCCUUUGAAUGGUGGCUUUUCCACAGCCUUUUGUUUUUUACAGUGAUUCUGCUAGUAUAUAUUUUUUAUGUCAUUGUGCCUAUGCAAUUCGACUUGGUUCUAGAGACUGUUUGUCAUCUAUUUGGUUUACAGUGCAAAAGUAGCAGACCAGCCAUCAUCUGAAUUUGCUACAGUUCAGAGGGACUGUGUGAUUGUGUGGAUAUUUUUCUUCUAGUUUAUAUUGUUGAGUUUCUUUUCAAAGCAACUUUUGGAGGUUUUCUGGGAUUACAUUUUUUUGAUCCAUGAAAGAAAUAUUUGGAAAAAAAUAACCAUAUUUGCAUUCAACAAGUGCCCAAACAUCGUUUCUCUGUAUGUGUAAGCUAUUCGUUGAGUGGCAUGUCAUAUACAUACCUUAAUUUUUCCAAGGAAGCUUAUCUCUCACAUUUUUAAGUUGUUUAGGGGCUUAAUCAGACGUUCAUUUCCUGUCAAAAUAUUAAUUUUAUAUAUUUGUUAUUAUUAGACUUUUAUUGCAAUUCAUUAUGUAGGAAUAGUCUGUAACAAGCUGUAAAAUAAGAAUAAAAUUGAAAACGUAGAAAGGCCAAUAAAGUUUUGUCUGUAGUAUAUUAUAAAACA